GAUAAUGGCAGUCCGGGCGGGGCAGCCUUCGGGCUGGCCGGUUUCCUUGAAGGCCGGUUACGCCAACCCCGUUCGGGCUGCCACCAGU
Molecule: non-coding RNA, 88 nt
Organism: Tatumella ptyseos ATCC 33301
Lineage: Bacteria; Pseudomonadati; Pseudomonadota; Gammaproteobacteria; Enterobacterales; Erwiniaceae
Source: Rfam